UGGGUACUCCCUCUGUUCGGAAUUACUUGUCGCAAAAAUGGAUGUAUCUAGACUUAUUUUAGUUAUAGAUGCAUCCAUUUCCGAGACAAGUAAUUCCGAACGGAGGGAGUACUUG
Molecule: non-coding RNA, 115 nt
Organism: Triticum aestivum (bread wheat)
Lineage: Eukaryota; Viridiplantae; Streptophyta; Magnoliopsida; Poales; Poaceae
Source: Rfam